Acanthosepion pharaonis is the source of this 111-nucleotide non-coding RNA. Lineage: Eukaryota; Metazoa; Mollusca; Cephalopoda; Sepiida; Sepiidae. The record is from the annotation of a GenBank genome assembly.
UGGCCACAUCAUGUAGAAACACUAGUUCUCAUAAGAUCACUGAUGUUAAGCAACAUCAAGUCUGGUCAGUACUUAGAUGGGUGAACACUUGAGAAUACCAGGUGCUGUAAG